Molecule: ribosomal RNA, 1272 nt
Filed under: metagenome
Description: bacterial LSU rRNA
Rfam family: Bacterial large subunit ribosomal RNA
Source: RNAcentral
UAGGUGGACAGGUAGAGCAUACCAAGGCGAGUGGGAUAACUAUGGUUAAGGAACUCGGCAAAUUGCCUCCGUAACUUCGGGAGAAGGAGGACCCCAGUAGCGUGAUGAGACUUGCUCUCUGAGCGUGAAGGGGUGGCACAAAAUUGAGGGAAGCGACUGUUUACCAAAAACACAGCAGCGUGCUAAGCCGUAAGGCGCUGUAUACGCUGUGACUCCUGCCCGGUGCUGGAAGGUUACGGGGAUGGGUUAGUCCUUCGGGACGAAGCUCUGAACCUAAGCCCCAGUAAACGGCGGCCGUAACUAUAACGGUCCUAAGGUAGCGAAAUUCCUUGUCGGGUAAGUUCCGACCUGCACGAAUGGAGUAACGACUUCCCUACUGUCUCAACCAUAGACCCAGCGAAAUUGAAGUACGAGUAAAGAUGCUCGUUAGCUGCAGAAGGACGGAAAGACCCCGUGGACCUUUACUAUAACUUGAUGUUGUGUUUUGUCAUAUGUUGUGUAGGAUAGGUGGGAGACUUGGAAGCAUGGACGCUAGUCUGUGUGGAGUCAUCGUUGAAAUACCACCCUGCAUAUGGUGAGGCUCUAACCUAGACCCGUUAUCCGGGUUGGGGACAGCGUCAGGCGGGUAGUUUAACUGGGGCGGUUGCCUCCUAAAGAGUAACGGAGGCGCCCAAAGGUUCCCUCAGCCUGGUUGGCAAUCAGGCGUUGAGUGCAAUGGCAAAAGGGAGCUUGACUGCGAGACCUACAAGUCGAGCAGGAGCGAAAGCUGGGCAUAGUGAUCCGGCGGUUGCGUGUGGAAGCGCCGUCGCUCAACGGAUAAAAGGUACCCCGGGGAUAACAGGCUAAUCUUGCCCAAGCGUCCAUAGCGACGGCAAGGUUUGGCACCUCGAUGUCGGCUCAUCGCAUCCUGGGGCUGAAGCAGGUCCCAAGGGUUGGGCUGUUCGCCCAUUAAAGCGGUACGCGAGCUGGGUUCAGAACGUCGUGAGACAGUUCGGUCCCUAUCCUCUGCAGCCGGAGGUGAAUUGAGGAAAGCUGUCCCUAGUACGAGAGGACCGGGACGGACGCAGCUCUCGUGUGCCAGUUGUCCUGCCAAGGGCAUGGCUGGUUAGCGACCUGCGGAAAGGAUGACCGCUGAAAGCAUCUAAGCGGGAAGCCUCUUCCAAGAUGAAUUCACCCACAGGGUUAACCUGGUAAGGCCCGUGGUAGACCACCACGUUGAUAGGCCGGAAGUGUAAGCGUGGCAACACGUUCAGCUGACCGGUACUAAUCGGC